UAUCUUUGCAAACUGGUUGAAAAAUUCAAUCAUAUACAUAAAAAUCAUUUAAACAUAAUAUUGGAAUG
Molecule: non-coding RNA, 68 nt
Organism: Cellulophaga algicola DSM 14237
Lineage: Bacteria; Pseudomonadati; Bacteroidota; Flavobacteriia; Flavobacteriales; Flavobacteriaceae
Source: Rfam